This is a long non-coding RNA of Cucumis melo (muskmelon), 1218 nucleotides long. RefSeq lists it as uncharacterized. The record is from RefSeq and is a predicted model, not a curated record. The transcript has 7 exons. NCBI's taxonomy places the organism in Eukaryota, Viridiplantae, Streptophyta, Magnoliopsida, Cucurbitales, Cucurbitaceae.
AUGUUUCUACAAGUCAUCAGAUUGGGAUCGACAGUUUGGAUGAUUUUUUCUUCGUGUCGAGGGAGGAAGUUCUCUCUUGCUAUAAUCUCACUGGAAAUGAUCUUCCCGAUGAUCGAGGAAAAGCAAUUUCGAUAAUGAGUAAAGCACUUGAAUCUUAUCUUAGUAAAGCCAAGGAGGAUGGGAUUAUUGCUGGAGUUAUAGGACUUGGAGGCAGUGGAGGGACGUCUCUGAUAUCCUUUGCGUUGAGACGUUGAAAGAUUCUUGUGAUUCCAAUGGAAAACAACAGUGGGUUUAACAAUGUUUGGGGUUACGACUCCCUGUGUCAAUGCUGUUAAAGAAAUAUUGCUUACAGAAGGAUACAAAAUCCUUGUUUUUCAUGCUACUGGGGUUGGGGGGAAGGCAAUGGAAUCUCUGGUCAAAGAGGGAUUUAUACAGGGAGUCUUGGACAUCACCACCACAGAGGUCGCAGACUACUUAAUUGGAGGUGUCAUGGCUUGUGACAGUACCCGCUUUGAUGCCAUUAUAGAGAAGAGGAUCCCAUUAGUUCUAAGUGUAGGAGCAGUGGAUAUGGUGAACUUUGGAUCCAAAGAUACAAUACCCUCAAAUUUUCACGGAAGGAAUAUAUAUGAACAUAAUAAAUAGGUUUCUCUAAUGCGAACUACGGUGGAGGAAUGGUACUCACAAAAUUUUAGAGCUAUUAUUAUUGAUUUUGAUAGAAUGCUGGUCUUGCAAGAAAUCAAGGAGCGAAGAGGCAAGAAUCAUGAUAUGUAGGUGAUCUUGUACAUUGCUUCUAAAUCAGAACCUUCCAUUCUCUGUACUUGCUUCGUGGCUUGACAACCUUGAUCAUACUUGAUUCAAGGUCAAAGAGACUUCAAAGUUAGGACCUCGCCCAGAGAAGCCUAUUGAGAUAUAUGAGUUUGAGAGUUGUCCAUUUUGUCGGAAGGGAGUUAUCACUAAACAAAUGACUGCAAUAGAAGAAAUGGUUGCAAGUGAGUACAAUUAGCCAGACCCUCAUCUUUGUGACAAGAUCUUGAAGUUGGUCAUUUGUGAAGCGUUCUACUUUGCUAUUAGUUGCAGUUUUAGUUAUUGCUCUCUCAAUAUAUUCUUUUUCUUUCUUUCUUUCUUUUUUUCCAAAGGAUGAUCAGUGUAAUAAUUAAGCUUCAUAAUUUCUGUGUUUGGAUCCAAGUUGUAUAUAAAUGUCACAUUAUUAAGAUUUCA